This 433-nucleotide ribosomal RNA is filed under the name uncultured bacterium. RNAcentral describes it as "partial 16S ribosomal RNA". It matches the Rfam family "Bacterial small subunit ribosomal RNA", at positions 29 to 507 of the family's 1533-position model. The record is from RNAcentral.
AACGAACGCUGGCGGCAUGCCUAACACAUGCAAGUCGAACGAGACCUUCGGGUCUAGUGGCGCACGGGUGCGUAACGCGUGGGAAUCUGCCCUUCGGUUGGGAAUAACUGAGAGAAAUUUCAGCUAAUACCUUAUAAUGUCUUCGGACCAAAGAUUUAUCGCCGAGGGAUGAGCCCGCGUAGGAUUAGGUAGUUGGUGGGGUAAUGGCCUACCAAGCCGACGAUCCUUAGCUGGUCUGAGAGGAUGAUCAGCCACACUGGGACUGAGACACGGCCCAGACUCCUACGGGAGGCAGCAGUGGGGAAUAUUGGACAAUGGGCGAAAGCCUGAUCCAGCAAUGCCGCGUGAGUGAUGAAGGCCUUAGGGUUGUAAAGCUCUUUUACCCGGGAUGAUAAUGACAGUACCGGGAGAAUAAGCUCCGGCUAACCCCGUG